GUUCUAUUGCAUAUUAACUUAGUAUUUCGCACACUUGGAAUAUGGAUUUUGGUGCUCAUGCCCGACUAUUGAUCUUGUUGGUAAUUUCAUUACUGGUGCUGUUGCAAGCUGUCGAUAUGGUUGCAUGCCAAAAAGGAAGAAGAAUAGGGGGCAGAGGAGGGAGAGGAGGAGAAUUAGGAGAAGGCUUCGUGGAACAGCUGGAGAAUAAAAUCCUUGAAGAAUAAUGAGCUGUUUUGCCUGAAGAUCAGAAUAUGCAUGGAAAUAUAUUGUGUAUAACAUUAUUUGAAAUGUAUCUGAGAGGCAAUAAAUAAAAGUUGUAUCGAAAUAAA
Molecule: non-coding RNA, 329 nt
Organism: Styela clava
Lineage: Eukaryota; Metazoa; Chordata; Ascidiacea; Stolidobranchia; Styelidae
Source: RefSeq, a predicted model, not a curated record